This is a long non-coding RNA of Conger conger (European conger), 573 nucleotides long. RefSeq lists it as uncharacterized. Lineage: Eukaryota; Metazoa; Chordata; Actinopteri; Anguilliformes; Congridae. The transcript has 4 exons. The record is from RefSeq and is a predicted model, not a curated record.
GUGUAGUCAGUGCGGACUGAGACCGCCAAAGAUCUGCACUGGAAGGCAACUUCUCCUGGCAGCUCCGGGAGUCUCCUGGAACGUGGAAUCGGCUCCCUGAUGCCAGAGAGAAGUAGGCCGGUAGGGCACAGAGGAGAAGAGCGCAGGGGCGAAGAGAGGAGUGGAGAGGAGGGAGAUGUGUCUCGGUCACAAGGGGAAUCAUGGAUUCAUAUUUCCUCAGCUCCGUCAUCUCCCGAUGUCAAACAGUGAAAUCCGAAACCCACAGAGAGCGAUUUGCCUCUGGAUGUCCAAACAAGACCAGAAAAGCACUUUGUUCUGACGGAAACCUCAUCUCACAUUUUCAUUGUUCGUCCAGUCUCCCUGUUUCCCACACUAACUUGUCAGCAAGCCCCCUGAAGAUCAAACAACACCAUGACACAUCUGCUGCGUAUCAAGAAUAUAAUUACAAUGCAAGACUGUUAAAACAGGAGCUUACAGGAAUAUAAGGCACAUGUUAUGCUUGUUUUUUUUUUUUACAGAGCUGUAAAAAGCUUAUCAGAGCCAAGGAGCUGAGUAAUAAAAAUCAAGAAAGUU